RNAcentral lists this ribosomal RNA (465 nucleotides) under uncultured bacterium. RNAcentral's name for it is "partial 16S ribosomal RNA". It matches the Rfam family "Bacterial small subunit ribosomal RNA", at positions 28 to 507 of the family's 1533-position model. The record is from RNAcentral.
GACGAACGCUGGCGGCGUGCUUAACACAUGCAAGUCGAACAGAAAGGCCCCUUUGGGGGUACUCGAGUGGCGAACGGGUGAGUAACACGUGAGUAACCUGCCCUUGACUUCGGGAUAACUUCAGGAAACUGGGGCUAAUACCGGAUAGGAAUCCUUGCUGCAUGGUGGGGGUUGGAAAGCUUCGGCGGUUUUGGAUGGACUCGCGGCUUAUCAGCUUGUUGGUGGGGUAGUGGCUUACCAAGGCUUUGACGGGUAGCCGGCCUGAGAGGGCGACCGGCCACAUUGGGACUGAGAUACGGCCCAGACUCCUACGGGAGGCAGCAGUGGGGAAUAUUGCACAAUGGGCGGAAGCCUGAUGCAGCAACGCCGCGUGCGGGAUGACGGCCUUCGGGUUGUAAACCGCUUUCAGCAGGGGCGAAGCUUGUGGUGACGGUACCUGCAGAAGAAGCACCGGCUAACUACGUG